This 10169-nucleotide long non-coding RNA is filed under the name Neodiprion lecontei (redheaded pine sawfly). RNAcentral describes it as "uncharacterized LOC124295064". Lineage: Eukaryota; Metazoa; Arthropoda; Insecta; Hymenoptera; Diprionidae. The record is from RNAcentral.
CCUGAUAUCCCCCGAUUCAUGGGCCUUCGGUGUCGCUUUCGUACGAAUCCGAAAGGGUUACGGCAAUUCAGGAAAUAGCCGUACCAUCACAAACCAUUCCGACACUCUGCAGAGAGACUCUGAUGGGCGCUUCAGCUGAGCAGGUACGAAAGAACGCUGUGGGUCGUAUGCAACUCGUCCAUACAUACGACAUCAAACUUCUUAUAUAAAUAAACAGACAAUUGAAAAGCAAAAAAAAAAGCAAAAAAAAAAACAAACUCAAACCGAAGCGAACGUUAUCAUACGGUUACGAACAUGUCUUACAUGUUACUGUACGGGUAUAAAACGCGAACUCUAUAUUAAAAUAUGUACAUCGCAUUCAUUCAUGAACAAUAUUGCAUUACAUUUAUGCAUUGACUACAUACAUACAUACACACACACAUACAUACAUACAUACAUUAUUGCGUAUAUGCAUUACAAACAUUCGACACACCAUAUGCAGAAGAAAACAAAAGCAUUACACGCAUAUUCAUAAUGAUAAUAACAUUAAUUAAUAUCACACCGUGUAUAAAGAUGUAAACAUAUGUAUUUUAGAUUACCCUAUACUUAAACGCAUUAUUCUAUUGUCUUGAGAUGGUAUAGAUACAUGCAUACAUACAUACCUACAUAUAUUCAAGUCUGCAGGGUCUUUCAAAAUUAUAUUAUUCAUGUGUUCCAAACUGGUUGAGAGCAAUCAUUCAAUUGGACCAUGUAUUUACUACUUUUCAUCUACUCAAGCACAAUAUUUUCAAUUACUGCUGCGAUGUAAUAUGUAGUACCUACAAUGUGGUUCAAUUCCAUUUUAUUUACCUUUUAUUACAGAAUAUUCAGAUUUCAUGUGAUUUUGUUUCAAAAGUUUUCUUAAAUUCACAGAGCACUACUUGGACCUGCUUUUCACUCAGUUUGGAAUUAUUUUAUUUCUACAUUUUCUUUAGUUUUUGUGUUUUUUCUUCCUUCUGUGUUUCUCCUCUGGUUUUUUUUUUUUUUUUUUUUUCAGAGUCAAAGUACAAAUCAUACAAAUUUAUGAACUUGGAUUUUGAUUAUUGUUUAAUUUUGGUAACCGUUCAUUUUUGGAACACCCUGUAUGCGCUAGAGGUGGAAAAAACCAGACGAUAUUUCUAAGUAGAAGCGUACCAACAAGGGCAGAUUUUCUCGAAAUUCCUUUUUGCUUUCAUUACACUUCUCUUUUUUUUUCCCAUUUUAUUUUUCCGGUUUUAUUUUCUUCACAUUGUUGAAAUAUUUUUAUUUAUUUUUUUUUUUUUUCUUCGCGCAAAUUUGCAAAACUACUUGCAAAGCAUAUAAAUUGUAUAAGAGAAAAGUUAUCGUGUGAGCAGAUCCAUGUUUAGGGGAGCAUUUGAGGGUAAAUAUUGGAUAAAGAUGUUUAGAUAAGUAACAUGUUUACCCAAAAAUUUGAAAAUUUGUAGAUAGCAUGAGAAAAAAAAUAUUAAUUGUAUAAAUAAGGGUGGGGCAUUAAUUCAAGUAAGUGGUGUGCUAACUGUGAUAUUGCGGCGUUCACAGAUUAUAAUGUGAGAAAAAAACAAAUAAAAGUAAAAAAAAAAUAUAUAUAUAUAUAUACAGAUAACUGUGAUGCCGGAUGACGCGUUAUGUCAAUGCUUGGAACUGAUAUUUAUGGAGCUCCACUAGCCCACUGAACAUUGGUUUGCUCAGGGCGUGAGUCUUUUAGCCCUUAGACUUCUCAAUGGAAAACUGAUUGCAAUUUUCUCUAUUCUAGUUGAUGGAAAGAAAACUAUUAUAAUAUCUUUAUAUAUUAAAUAUUAUUUAUAAUUAUAUUAUACGAUAUAAUCACGCAAAUUUCUUAUUUACGGUAAUGACUACAAUGAGCAUCUGAUUUUAAUUUCUUUUCCUUUUAUUUUUUUCUUUUUUUUUUCUUUUUUUUUCAUUUUGUUUGAUUUUUAAAUUUGUCAGUAAAUGUUGAUCUAUAAUUUCGCCAUUUCUUUUAUUCCAUGGUAGUUUGGCAAAAUUCUUUUAGUUUAAUUGAUAUUGAUUAUGUAUCUUCUAUAAAAUCGUAUACGUAUGUAUAUAAAUAUAUUAUAUAUUUAUAUACAUUUGUGUCCGAUUUAUUCGAGUCUGAGUUAUUAGGUCAAAGAUGCAAUUCUGGGUUUUGCAAAAUUUGGUUCACAGUAUAGUUUUUAUUCUUUAGGGUGAAAUUUUUAAGGGUAUCUAUAGUAUCUGAUAUUCACACGGUACGAUACAUUGACUAUUUCCAAAUCUCGUUCACUACAUUCAAUCCUGUUACAAAAAUUGAUGAGUCAAAAGCAAUCAACCAACUAGCAAAUCAAAUCAGGCAGGUUAAUUUCCAGCAAUUUAUAAUGAUUGUAAAUUCACUCUUAUUCUCACUUUAGUCUCAUAAGGCUGAAGCUGGCAACCGGAGUUAGCAGCAAAAUUUAUUAAACUUUUUGGAAAUAGAAAAAUGCAGUUCAGUUUUAUACUUAUAAUUCUACAAAAGUAUUGGGGAUCCGAGAUAUUUCACAAAAUUUUGAUUUUUGGACUUCAUUACCUUAUGCGAAUAAAUAAUAAAACGUUUGGCUGUUAAUUCUGGUUGCUAGCUUCAGCCUCGUUUUAAUCUCAAUGAAUUAUUUGCAGGUCAGUGAAUGAAAUUAUUUGCUUUUUUAGCCUUGAAAUGGUACUAAUUUUGUCAUUUCAAUGAUUCACACGAUACCGAUGAAUUUAUGAUGAAUUGAAGUAUUUAAUUUCGUGUUAUUUAUCUUUCUUAGUUGCUGGGAAUUUACUUGACAUUGUGGAAAAAUGACUGUACCAAUUAUUUUGGAAUAAAUGUUGGUACAGUCAUUUCUUAUCCAAUUCUAUGAAUCACGAAAAGAAAGAAUAGCUGCACAAGAUUAUUUGGCUAAUUAAGACAAACGAUUUGUUCUCUGCUUCAAGUCGAUCAGAGACUUUAAUUCCCCCCACUAGUCGAAAGAAACGAAUAUUAUUGAUUUACCAUUGUGUAAAUAGCGAUGCAAACGAAUGCGCACGUCUGUCAACAAUUAACUAAAAUAAUGUAAUCAAAGAGAAGUAAUGAAAAGAGACAAUUUUUUAAAAAUUUCUAUUUUCACCGAAGUGAUUGCUAUGUCAAUGAGCGCAUCAGGUACACAAAGAAAGUGUUGGUAUCAACGAUAAUUUGGGGUUGAAUAUUGUUGCUCUAUUUCUUCGCUGCAAUGGUAUUGUUUUGUAAGCUGGUGAAUGAACAAUGAUGCUGUAACUAGUUAGCAAGUGAUACCUGACUCUGAUUAAGAAAUCGCAAAGUUUCAUAUUUUCGUUUCAAAUUAUUCCAGUAACAACUCAAAAUUGGCAAAAUAGAAUUAACACAUUAUUUAGAGAACUUUGUAAUUAUCUGCCGAUUAAUUCUUGAUAUGAGUGGGUCUCACCUUCUACCUACCAUUUGCUAGCUUCAGCAUCGUCAAUGAACAAGGAGUAUUAACUCUUAGACUGCCGUAAAGUCUAAAUAUAGUCUCUGCCGGCAGUCUAAAGGUUAAAACUGAGCAAAAUGAUACAAAGGAAACAAUUCUCACUAAACUGUAUAAUGUACUAAAAUUUGAACAAACGGUGUUCAAUGUGCAGGGACAGAUUUUGCCCACUGCAUGUGUAAUAGAAGUGAUUCUCAGGCCCCAUUGUUCAAUCGUACCCAACACUUGGUCCCCGAUAUACACUUGGCCAAGGUCUAUUGAAUCACGAUCAAAUGAGAAAAUUAGCUGUGAUGAUGACCCUAUAGGUACUACUAAUUUUUAAUUGAUAACAGAUCGAUUUAGUAACAAAAGUAAUUAAGUAUGUAUGUAUAAUGAUAAUAAUUUUAAUAUUUGGAUAUAAGGUGAUGAUGAUGAUUUCUGUGCGUGUUCUAAUCGCUAAAGGCGCACUACGGAGUGUGCGAAUGUUGAAAAGGAGAGUUUAAGCUGUAAUAAUGAACUAGCGGAUAAUAAUUGGCUGUAUUUAUGUGAAGGGAAGCUGGCAGACAAUUUUUACAUCACUGGUAAGCUUUCUUUUUCAUAAUUACAUCCAAAUUGCUAUAGGUUUAUAUGCAUUGGUAAGCUCUGGGCCAUUACACCAUACAAGUGCGACCACAAUAUUGGUUCCAAAAAAUAAUUACGAUGACAACAAGUGUUCAUUCUUAAUUUGCACAGAUAUAUUUAUCGAAACUUAUGAUCGAAUCGAUAUGAUUUACAAAUUAGUCAAACAGCUAUAACUUCAGUAGUCUUGGAUUCUCUUAUUUACUUAUUGGAUGGAAAUUUUUGAUUGGGUCAACAUAUAAAUUAUGCUCUUGCGUCAUUCUGAUGAGGUUCAAAAGGGGAUUCUUAACAACAUUAAAACUUAUUUAAACACUUGAUGUAGGAUCUGAGAAUUGUUGGACAUGGAUAUAAUGUGAGAGAUUAUACACGGACCAUGUAAAUCACAUUGAAUGCUGUUGUACUAUGUAUUAUAGCUACGUCUUUCAAACUUUCCUACAAUGAAUUUAAAUUAUUAAUUCAAGACUAUUGGUGUUUUUGUUUGAAAUCGAAUAAUUUUCCGUGAAUAAUAAAAGAAAAAAGGUAACAUGAAAUCGUAGGUCUAGCACUGUAACAAACUAAGGUCCAGUUUGCAAAGCCAAUAUUAAUGUGAUAUUGUGACGUACAAACAAUUCAUUGCAAUGAACUCGAAACUGCAGGAGAAUCACAAUCAACACGCCGUGAAUCUCUUGUUAAUUGUCACUAGCCCCUACUUCAAGCUGUAAUUUUUAGUAUUAUUGAGAAUGAAACGACGAAAGUGUUAAAAUGCAUCGAAAGUUUUUUGAUCUUUCAAGCAUACCAGAACCAAUAGUCAGAUUUAAUAUAUCUUUGAAUUAUUGAUCACUUUUCAAUGGGUACGAAUAUGUGGUAGAAAUUGAAUGUAAAUUUAUGAAGGCCGAAAAACAAAUCAAGUACUUUUUCGCUUGCAAAGUUCUGUUUUUAAUGACAUGAUUCGCAGACUUAUUUGCUAAAUUCAACCAUACCAGGUGCUGAGUUACCGUCAAAGUAGCACUGUAUAGUUUGAGCUAAUAACAAUCAGUCAUCGGCUGUUUGCGAUGAGACUGGUGCUAUUUUGCCGGUAACUUUGGCAUUAGCAUUAGCAAGUUAGUCCAUGAUUUCCAAUAUUAAUUAUAAUGUUUUAAAUGUUUUCCGAAACUAUGUCUUGAUUAUGUUACAGAAUCAUAGAAAUAUGGGUAGGUCAAAGCUGUAUUUACUUUAAAAACGGUGUGCUCAAUGGGGGUUUGUGACGAUACUACAAUAUCAUAUCAUUCUAAUCUAUAAACGUGUUUUGAGUUUAUAGUGGAAUGACGAAUAAGUGAUUGUUUUUUUUUUUUUUUUUCUCUCUCCAUUUCUCCUUUCUUUCAAUACCAACUUUACACAUACCUCUUGCAACUCUGUAUGUCGACUGUUGUCAACGACAAAAUUGCUUUGUUCUUUUUAAAUUUGUACCAGGGCUCAGAUUUUGAACAGCUUUAUUUUAAUGUAAUGUAUCGGAAACUGUGACCUGCGGAAGUAGACGAUUUGAGAAAAAAAUAUGAUUAGUUAUGGUGUAAUGAAAAUAGACGUGCUGAUUUCAAUUCGUGAGACUGGCGCGAUGAAUAACAAACAUUCGAUGUAUCUUCAUAAAUUAUAAAUUUGCAUAUCUAUGCGCAGCGACAAUUUGUUCAAGCGACAGUACUGUAUUCAUUACAUUAGGUGGAAAGACAAACCAAAGUCUAUGUUCAGUUUUGUACUCAUCAGCCGGUUAAACUCAAAACAUGUUUUCAUACAACCAAAAAAUAAAAAUAAAAUUCAAAUAUGAUACGAUCAGGAAUGCUGAUUUGCAAAACUGAAUGUGGGCCAACAUUCUCUCACAAUACACUGGUUAUUAUAUAAGCAUUAAAUUUAGGUUAAGUUUGAGGUAAAACUAUGGUUUUAGAUGCAGAACAACAUUUCCAACAAAAUGUAUUAAUAUAUAUGUAUAUGUAUCGAGGGUGUUGAAUGUUCCAAAACUGAAUUCUGAAAAUGACUCGUGUAUGCGUAAGAGAUUUUAUGGGAGGAAAAUCUUCGAAACAAUUUGGCCAUUCUAUAGUAUAUUUAUUUUUAACUACGUUUUUUCCUUGAAUUAGUAGUAUUUUAUUCGCUUUUAGAUUUUGUGUGCAAAUGCAUAGUUUAAAACGUUGCUGCGUUAAGGACAAGUCAACCAAAAUACCAGUUUUUAUUAGGCAUUACGUAUAAAAUAACUAAGUUUAUGUAAAUGGACAUGUCUAUGGUUAAUUGUAAGAUUGAGGAGCUUUAAGCAAAGUGGAACAAGGGUUUCUUGCCUGCUGCGCAAUAGGCAAUGUACUGAUUAUUUUAAUAAUUAAGAUUUGAUUGUGUAACAUAUAUAUAUAUAAUAUCUAUAUAUACAUUGAAAUAUAUAUUAUAUAUAUUUACAUACAUGUUAUAUCGCGUUCUUGUGUGAAGACGUUAUCUUGAAACAUUUAGAGAAUAUAUCCAAAAAAAUACAGUAAAAAUAUAGAUGAGUCAUAGCUUACAUUACGAAUUUAAUAUGGUUCAUUCUGUGCUAUAUACAUAAGUACAUACAACACUUAGCUAAGUUUUUUUAACAGAUUAUUACACGAUUAAACCAUUUUUGUUAUUAUGGUUUUUUCCCCCCUUAAGAAAACGUCAUUGUACAGAGCAUUGUUUGAGUAAGCGUUGUAAAAAGUGAAAUGAAUAGGAAAGAAAGAAAGUUCAUUUUUCCCAUGGGAAUAAUACAGUCGUAACAUAUUUGAAGUCAGUUUAUAUUGCAACCUUUUGUUUUGAACUCAUAUCUUCUGUGACUGUUUAUUUUUAAUCACGGUCUUUAUGUCGAAGUACUUGGGUAUUAAACGAACAAAAUUCUGUAUGUAUUAUAUAUAUAUAUAUAUAUAUAUAUAUGUAUGUAUGCGUAUACACGUGGAUUUGUAAAACCAAAUUUGUAAAGCAAGAUUAUCGAGACAAGAACCUGCAAGGAAGAAAAAAAAAAAUAACGAAGAAAAGCAAAACAUGGAAUGAGUACACGAGUGAUAAAAAUGCUCAUGGAGAGGUUUGUUAUGCGUAAGUAUGCGAGCCCCUAGCGCAUCGGAUUGUUUUGAGAGUAAAACAGUACUUCUGUGUUUGCGCCGCCCAUGCUUUACAUGGAUAUUUUAAAGUCUGCGUUUUGAGCAUACAUUUGAUUUGAUACACCAUUCGUUUAAUCAAAUCUACAUUGGAAUACCACAAGCUUUCUAAUAAACUGCAAUAUUGGAUGACUUGACUAGGAAUAUCCAGAUUUCGUCAAUAUGGACUUCAAAACAUCAAGAACAUUAACGAAAAUUCUUAUGUUGUACCUUACGUAACAAUAUUUACAUUGAAGAAUUGAAUUAUGCAUGAAGAUGAAUGAAGAAUAUCCUUUGUACAAUUGGAAUACCAUCUCAAAAAUUUGUAAACUUAGCUAUUCAAAAGAUCAUUCACCGAAACUGACCCGUCAUGUUUUAGAACAGUUUUAUAAAGGUAGGAUGUAUUUCUACCAUUUAGUUGAAUUCUGCAACGGUGAAUAAAUAUCAAUAAAAGUCAUAAGAGAAAGUUGUAUCAUAGACGUAAGACAAUGUUUUGUACAAGACUGCUGAACCAAAAGUAUUUUUACCAGAAAAAUUGGAAAAUAGAAUGAAUACUCCCUGGAAGUUUAAAGAUAGGAAAUAUUUUAUAAUAUAAAUAAUACUAAAAUCUAAGUAUUUCAUUGAUAUGCCACAACGUUCCACACACUGCCAUAAAGCAGCAGGCAGGCAAGACAGAUCUACAGCACGUUUUAAUCAACGCGAAGUGUAACACACAGUGCAUUUAAGAAAUCAUAUACAAAAUUAUUCAUCAUUUUCAACGAAUCAUCUCGAAGAAUGAAGUGGAUUGGAGAGUGGAUAGAUUACGAGAGACAAUUUCCAGAAUUCAGCAUUGAACCAAGAAGUGUGAUCCAAAAAGCUGUAAUUUGAGGAUCCAUGGGUUACAACGUGAGGCACCUGAUGUAUUUCUGUAAAAUAUAUGUGAAAAAAAGAGGAAGGAAAGAAGUGAAAAACAAGAGUGUUUAACGAAAUCAAUAUGCGCCUAGAUUCGUGGGAUUCGCAAACAUAUAUAAAAAAAGCAGUCCCACGUCUAAAAGUGUUCACACUGAACACUUUUCAAAAGGCCACUUACGAUGACACUUUCUAAGAAAAAUACAGAAAAAAUGGCUUUGAAAGCAACAAAAAAAUAAAAAUAAAAAAAAUUGUAAAAUAAGAAAUGUGUAAUAGGUCAAGUGAACCAUCAAAAGCAGCAAGUGUCUUCCAUCGACGUGCAAUAUUAAAUCAUUAUUCCACAAAAUUCAAGUUACUGCUCUACAACUUGCUGCUGUCAUGUAACUGAAACUACCGUAAAUGGAAAACCACUCAAGUUUUGCAGUAUACUCAAAAAUCGUUGAACAUCGCUGAUCAAAAAAUUAUACGUACUUGAAAUCGCAGUGCGAUAUGUGAUAUGUGAAUGCUAUAUGAGCAUUGAUCUUGAAUCAAUGGUAUUGUAAAAAAAAUACAAUGAUAAAGCAAAUUAUUCGGAAGACCCAAACUAAAACCUACACAAAUCCAAAAUAAUCUUUCAUUUUAAAACUGCGUUAAAUCUCUGAGAGGAUGACAUUUAAGAAAAAAAAUGUUACAUCACACAUUUUGGAAAAAUAAGCAUAAGUUUUUACGAAUAUCUACAUGUGAAAAUGAAACAUCGAACACUCCUCCCUUCACCAUUUACGACAAAUGUGAUGUUGAAGAUGGAGCAACUGCAUUUUGAAGAUUCAUUAAUUAUACAUCCCGCCAUGAGAUACAUGAUUCAUAGAUACAAAAACAAUCUGAUUACCCAAAGACAAAUCACAUUUUUACAAUAUCUGCCUAGUACCUAUUAUCACUUAACCAAAUAACUGAUAACCACAUUGUUCAUUACAAGCAUCCACUACAAAUAUUCUAAACCCCCCUCCCCGAAAAUUUCCCAAAACUAUCGAAAAAUUGUAAAACCCAUUUAAGUUUGGAACCUUUGUUAUUUCACUUAUCCCAUGAAAUCCCUCUGCAUCCUAUUUCCUUCAGGGCCCUUUUCAGGGCCCGCAAAUGAUUCUAUGCAAAGAACAAUCGCAACUAUCACGUUGUGUGACCCGCACAUAAGUGCAAAAUCUGUCCUUUUAAGGACAAUUCUACACAUCUGUUUGGAAUACACAAACGAAAUUCAUCCAAUUUUGGACUUCAUGUGAAGGAAGAGAGGCAACGCUGAAGGAAGACUAACCGAUGGCCUGGUGUUUUCUUGUCUAACAAUAAAAACUUGUCGAACUUGAGACCUGGUCCACAAAACUUUACUUCAACCGAGUGGUAAAGUAUAAAAUUUUCACCGUGGAAUAUCAAAGGUAAUGUAUUUUUUGAAAGCUAUGGAGAUAAAAAUGAUAAAAUUUUGGACAUUUCAUGUCGGUUCAGUUAGUACAAGAAAAAGUUUGACAACAAGGUUUUUAGCUGUUGGUGAAAUCUGGGAAACUGGGAAUUGUCAGGGAAUUUGUACGCAUCUAUAAAACCGGAAAAUUUCGCGGAAUUUGGAUAUGUGUCCUAAAAUUUUUGUAUUUUUUCCACGCUAGUGUACAAUUCUUUGAAAUGUAGAAAAUUACUCUCCUUGAGACAAGUGAGAUGGUUAGUGUGAAAAGGGUAUGAUAAAAAAUAUCGCCUUUGGAUGAAUUUUAAGCAUUGAUAAAUUGAUGCUGAGCACUAUGUAAAAUUUAUGAAAAAUAUAACCAAGUACUAAAAACAAUUAAUACCCUCAGAUUGGUGUUUCUACCUUCAUGUUUCGAAAGAAGGGCGCAUCCUAAUCUUCCGUUAGUUUCUUAAAAUUGGAGUAUUUAUCGAUAUAAUUGCAUAGGGAGUUGGAACCUGUUUGAAACUUCCAGUUCCUACUACAUACAUCGUCAGUGGCUACAAGAAGACUCGUAUACAGCAGAGAAUGUGUGGACUUUGCAAGCAGCUGAGCCAUUGCGAAACGACGCAAAACUUGGAUCUACGUGUAUGCUUUUCGCAUAUAAAAUGGUUGUAAAUAUAUUUGGUCAGAGCAAUAAGAGUAAAUGUUUUUAUAAAUACAUUCAGAAACAAAAAAUAUACGAUGGUAAUAAAUUCACCCAAAACUUGA